GACGAACGCUGGCGGCGUGCUUAACACAUGCAAGUCGAACGAAGAGCGAUGGAAGCUUGCUUCUAUCAAUCUUAGUGGCGAACGGGUGAGUAACGCGUAAUCAACCUGCCCUUCAGAGGGGGACAACAGUUGGAAACGACUGCUAAUACCGCAUACGAUCUAAUCUCGGCAUCGAGGAUAGAUGAAAGGUGGCCUCUACAUGUAAGCUAUCACUGAAGGAGGGGAUUGCGUCUGAUUAGCUAGUUGGAGGGGUAACGGCCCACCAAGGCGAUGAUCAGUAGCCGGUCUGGGAAGAUGAACGGCCAAAUUGGGACUGGGACACGGCCCAGACUCCUACGGGGGGCAGCAGUGGGGAAUCUUCCGCAAUGGACGAAAGUCUGACGGGGCAACGCCGCGUGAGGGAUGACGGCCUUCGGGUUGUAAAGCUCUGUUAAUCGGGACGAAAGGACUCCUUGCGAAUAGUGAGAAGGAUUGACGGUACCGGAAUAGAAAGCCACGGCUAACUACGUG
This 510-nucleotide ribosomal RNA is filed under the name uncultured bacterium. RNAcentral's name for it is "partial 16S ribosomal RNA". It matches the Rfam family "Bacterial small subunit ribosomal RNA", at positions 28 to 507 of the family's 1533-position model. The record is from RNAcentral.